GGCUUCGUAGCCCAGCUGGUAGAGCACUCUCGGUACUAAAGCGACGGUGGUCACCAUGCGCGGGUUCAAAUCCCGCCGGGGCCA
This 84-nucleotide transfer RNA is filed under the name Fasciola hepatica (liver fluke). It matches the Rfam family "tRNA". Rfam says of the family: Transfer RNA (tRNA) molecules are approximately 80 nucleotides in length. Their secondary structure includes four short double-helical elements and three loops (D, anti-codon, and T loops). Lineage: Eukaryota; Metazoa; Platyhelminthes; Trematoda; Plagiorchiida; Fasciolidae. The record is from Rfam by way of RNAcentral.